GACGAACGCUGGCGGCGUGCUUAACACAUGCAAGUCGAACGGUGAAACAGGAGCUUGCUCCUGCGGAUCAGUGGCGAACGGGUGAGUAACACGUGAGUAACCUGCCCCAGACUCUGGGAU
This 120-nucleotide ribosomal RNA is filed under the name uncultured bacterium. RNAcentral's name for it is "partial 16S ribosomal RNA". It matches the Rfam family "Bacterial small subunit ribosomal RNA", at positions 28 to 144 of the family's 1533-position model. The record is from RNAcentral.